AAUUGAUUAGUUUAAAAUAAAACUAAUGUUUUGAAAACAUUUAAUAGAGUAGUUCAAAUUCUAUCAAUUA
RNAcentral lists this transfer RNA (70 nucleotides) under Upogebia bowerbankii. RNAcentral's name for it is "tRNA-Ser". It matches the Rfam family "tRNA". Rfam says of the family: Transfer RNA (tRNA) molecules are approximately 80 nucleotides in length. Their secondary structure includes four short double-helical elements and three loops (D, anti-codon, and T loops). Lineage: Eukaryota; Metazoa; Arthropoda; Malacostraca; Decapoda; Upogebiidae. The record is from RNAcentral.